CAUUAUACAGCGAAACUGCGAAUGGCUCAUUAUAUAAGUUAUCGUUUAUUUGAUAGUACCUUACUACAUGGAUAACCGUGGUAAUUCUAGAGCUAAUACAUGCUAAAAAUCCCGACUUCGGAAGGGAUGUAUUUAUUAGAUUAAAAACCAAUGCCCUCUGGGCUCUUUGGUGAUUCAUGAUAACUUCUCGAAUCGCAUGGCCUUGCGCCGGCGAUGGUUCAUUCAAAUUUCUUCCCUAUCAACUUUCGAUGUUUGGGUAUUGGCCAAACAUGGUCGCAACGGGUAACGGAGGGUUAGGGCUCGACCCCGGAGAAGGAGCCUGAGAAACGGCUACUACAUCCAAGGAAGGCAGCAGGCGCGCAAAUUACCCAAUCCCGACACGGGGAGGUAGUGACAAUAAAUACUGAUACAGGGCUCUUUUGGGUCUUGUAAUUGGAAUGAGUACAAUUUAAAUCCCUUAACGAGGAACAAUUGGAGGGCAAGUCUGGUGCCAGCAGCCGCGGUAAUUCCAGCUCCAAUAGCGUAUAUUAAAGUUGUUGUGGUUAAAAAGCUCGUAGUUGAACCUUGGGCCUGGCUGGCCGGUCCGCCUCACCGCGUGUACUGGUCCGGCCGGGCCUUUCCCUCUGUGGAACCCCAUGCCCUUCACUGGGUGUGGCGGGGAAACAGGACUUUUACUUUGAAAAAAUUAGAGUGCUCCAGGCAGGCCUAUGCUCGAAUACAUUAGCAUGGAAUAAUGAAAUAGGACGUGUGGUUCUAUUUUGUUGGUUUCUAGGACCGCCGUAAUGAUUAAUAGGGACAGUCGGGGGCAUCAGUAUUCAAUUGUCAGAGGUGAAAUUCUUGGAUUUAUUGAAGACUAACUACUGCGAAAGCAUUUGCCAAGGAUGUUUUCAUUAAUCAGGAACGAAAGUUAGGGGAUCGAAGACGAUCAGAUACCGUCGUAGUCUUAACCAUAAACUAUGCCGACUAGGGAUCGGACGAUGUUAUUUUUUGACGCGUUCGGCACCUUACGAGAAAUCAAAGUGCUUG
RNAcentral lists this ribosomal RNA (1026 nucleotides) under Gamszarea humicola. RNAcentral describes it as "SSU rRNA". It matches the Rfam family "Eukaryotic small subunit ribosomal RNA", at positions 72 to 1109 of the family's 1831-position model. Lineage: Eukaryota; Fungi; Ascomycota; Sordariomycetes; Hypocreales; Cordycipitaceae. The record is from RNAcentral.